Molecule: ribosomal RNA, 303 nt
Filed under: uncultured bacterium
Lineage: Bacteria
Description: partial 16S ribosomal RNA
Rfam family: Bacterial small subunit ribosomal RNA
Source: RNAcentral
AGCAGCCGCCACGGUAAUACAGAGGGUGCGAGCGUUAAUCGGAUUUACUGGGCGUAAAGCGUGCGUAGGCGGCUUCUUAAGUCGGAUGUGAAAUCCCUGAGCUUAACUUAGGAAUUGCAUUCGAUACUGGGAAGCUAGAGUAUGGGAGAGGAUGGUAGAAUUCCAGGUGUAGCGGUGAAAUGCGUAGAGAUCUGGAGGAAUACCGAUGGCGAAGGCAGCCAUCUGGCCUAAUACUGACGCUGAGGUACGAAAGCUUGGGGAGCAAACAGGAUUAGAUACCCCCGUAGUCCCUGUCUCUUAUAA